RNAcentral lists this ribosomal RNA (381 nucleotides) under uncultured bacterium. RNAcentral describes it as "partial 16S ribosomal RNA". It matches the Rfam family "Bacterial small subunit ribosomal RNA", at positions 338 to 733 of the family's 1533-position model. The record is from RNAcentral.
CCUACGGGAGGCAGCAGUGGGGAAUAUUGGGCAAUGGGCGCAAGCCUGACCCAGCAACGCCGCGUGAAGGAAGAAGGCCUUCGGGUUGUAAACUUCUUUUCUCAGGGACGAAGAAAGUGACGGUACCUGCGGACUAAGCUACGGCUAACUACGUGCCAGCAGCCGCGGGAAUACGUAGGUGGCAAGCGUUAUCCGGAUUUAUUGGGUGUAAAGGGCGUGUAGGCGGGAGGGUAAGUCAGAUGUGAAAACCCCGGGCUCAACCCUGGGCCUGCAGUUGAAACUGGGUUUCUUGAGUGGGAGAGAGGCAAUCGGAAUGCGGGGUGUAGCGGUGAAAUGCGUAGAUAUACGGAGGAACACCAGUGGCGAAGGCAGAUUGCUGGA